GCAGGNGAACCUGCGGAAGGAUCAUUG
This 27-nucleotide ribosomal RNA is filed under the name Colpodium versicolor. Its description in RNAcentral is "partial 18S ribosomal RNA". Lineage: Eukaryota; Viridiplantae; Streptophyta; Magnoliopsida; Poales; Poaceae. The record is from RNAcentral.